This 21-nucleotide non-coding RNA is filed under the name Caenorhabditis elegans. Lineage: Eukaryota; Metazoa; Nematoda; Chromadorea; Rhabditida; Rhabditidae. The record is from RNAcentral.
UGCAUUCUGCUAUUAGAUGUU